GACGAACGCUGGCGGCGUGCUUAACACAUGCAAGUGGAGCGACGAACCAGGCUUCGGCCUGGGGCAGAGCCGCGAACGGGUGAGUAACACGUGGGUAACGUGCCCCGAUGACCGGGACAACCCGGGGAAACCCGGGCUAAUACCGGAUGUGCUGUCCCAACACCAGUUGGGAUUGGAAAGGAAGCUUCGGCCUCCGCAUCGGGAUCGGCCCGCGGCCCAUUAGCUUGUUGGUGGGGUAAUGGCCUACCAAGGCUUCGACGGGUAGCCGGCCUGAGAGGGUGACCGGCCACACUGGGACUGAGACACGGCCCAGACUCCUACGGGAGGCAGCAGUAAGGAAUAUUGGUCAAUGGACGCAAGUCUGAACCAGCCAUGCCGCGUGAAGGAUGAAGGUCCUCUGGAUUGUAAACUUCUUUUAUCUGGGACGAAACCCGGGGAAUUCUUUCCCGAUUGACGGUACCAGAGGAAUAAGCACCGGCUAACUCCGUGCCAGCAGCCGCAGU
Molecule: ribosomal RNA, 503 nt
Filed under: uncultured bacterium
Lineage: Bacteria
Description: bacterial SSU rRNA
Rfam family: Bacterial small subunit ribosomal RNA
Source: RNAcentral